This 448-nucleotide ribosomal RNA is filed under the name uncultured bacterium. RNAcentral describes it as "bacterial SSU rRNA". It matches the Rfam family "Bacterial small subunit ribosomal RNA", at positions 329 to 793 of the family's 1533-position model. The record is from RNAcentral.
GACCAGACUCCUACGGGAGGCAGCAGUGGGGAAUAUUGCACAAUGGGGGAAACCCUGAUGCAGCGACGCCGCGUGAGUGAAGAAGUAUUUCGGUAUGUAAAGCUCUAUCAGCAGGGAAGAAGAAAGACGGUACCUGACUAAGAGGCCCCGGCUAACUACGUGCCAGCAGCCGCGGUAAUACGUAGGGGGCAAGCGUUAUCCGGAUUUACUGGGUGUAAAGGGAGCGUAGACGGCUGUGCAAGUCUGAAGUGAAAGUCCAGGGCUCAACCCUGGGACUGCUUUGGAAACUGUGGAGCUAGAGUGCUGGAGAGGUAAGUGGAAUUCCUAGUGUAGCGGUGAAAUGCGUAGAUAUUAGGAGGAACACCAGUGGCGAAGGCGGCUUACUGGACAGUAACUGACGUUGAGGCUCGAAAGCGUGGGGAGCAAACAGGAUUAGAUACCCGUGUAC